GAUUUACUCCCUCCGUUUGGAAUUACUUGUCUCGAAAAUGGAUGUAUCUAGAACUAAAAUACAUCUAGAUACAUCCAUUUCUACGACAAGUAAUUCUGAACUGAGGGAGUACAAA
Molecule: non-coding RNA, 115 nt
Organism: Triticum aestivum (bread wheat)
Lineage: Eukaryota; Viridiplantae; Streptophyta; Magnoliopsida; Poales; Poaceae
Source: Rfam